GACGAACGCUGGCGGCGUGCCUAACACAUGCAAGUCGUGCGAGAAAGUUCCUUCGGGAGCGAGUAAAGCGGCGCACGGGUGAGUAACACGUAGGUAACCUGCCCCCCAGUCUGGAACAACUAGAGGAAACUCUAGCUAAUGCCGGAUGUAGACCACGAUCCCUUCGGGGGUUGCGGCCAAAGAUGGCCUCUACUUGUAAGCUAUCGCUGAGGGAUGGGCCUGCGGGCCAUUAGCUUGUUGGUGAGGUAACGGCUCACCAAGGCUGUGAUGGCUAGCUGGUCUGAGAGGAUGACCAGCCACACU
This 303-nucleotide ribosomal RNA is filed under the name uncultured bacterium. RNAcentral describes it as "bacterial SSU rRNA". It matches the Rfam family "Bacterial small subunit ribosomal RNA", at positions 28 to 314 of the family's 1533-position model. The record is from RNAcentral.